CUGGAACACCUCCUUUCUGGAGAAGCAGAACCUGGAACAAGACUGGAGAAGGCCGAGUUCUCUCUUGGUACUACACGCUUCGUUCAAUAUAAAAAAGAAGGAAAACAACCCGCCGCAGGCACGAUUUGAAGAAUAGUCCUAUAGCUCAGUAGGUUAGAGCGCUACACUGAUAAUGUAGAGGUCGGCAGUUCAACUCUGCCUGGGACUACUCCGAAUGAGGGGGAUUAGCUCAGCUGGCUAGAGCAUCUGCCUUGCACGCAGAGGGUCAACGGUUCGAAUCCGUUAUUCUCCACGCAUCCCGCGAGGGAAAGAGGAUCUUUGACAUGUUGGACAUCAAAAAGAAGAAACAAGUAGAGCGAGCUUAAGAUAUAUCAACCCGUACGUAUGUACGAGGUGAGAGAAAGUAAGCAAGGGCGCACGGUGAAUGCCU
RNAcentral lists this transfer RNA (430 nucleotides) under uncultured Parabacteroides sp. RNAcentral describes it as "partial contains 16S ribosomal RNA, 16S-23S ribosomal RNA intergenic spacer, and 23S ribosomal RNA". The stretch from base 135 to 208 matches the Rfam family "tRNA". Lineage: Bacteria; Pseudomonadati; Bacteroidota; Bacteroidia; Bacteroidales; Tannerellaceae. The record is from RNAcentral.